Homo sapiens (human) is the source of this 938-nucleotide long non-coding RNA. RefSeq lists it as uncharacterized. The transcript has 3 exons. Lineage: Eukaryota; Metazoa; Chordata; Mammalia; Primates; Hominidae. The record is from RefSeq and is a predicted model, not a curated record.
CAGAAAUUUUACUCUUAAAUUGUCCUCUGUAUUGCAGUGACAGAAAGCCUGGAAUCUACCUUUCUUAGACUCACUUACUAGCAGUUACUGGUUUAGGUUUUGCCAGUGAGAAACUCGUGUGUGAGACUUGGAAGGUGAACAAGAAGAAGAAGCCAUUGAUCUUCAGUGGGAGCUGCAGGCAGCUAUAUGGGCAUUGGAGAUGGCAGGCCCUCCCUACACAGAAAAAAAGAUGGCAAUCAGCAGCUCAAACUCAGAUCCUACUAUGAUGGCAAUGGCAUAAAGAUUGAGCUUUGCUCCUAAUCACUUUUAAGAAGGUCUAAGUAAGACUUCAAGUGACUUAGCUGUGUCCCAUAUGCAGCCUUCAGUCAUUUGCUGUAACUGGCUGAACAGAAUACUCUGACUAGGCCUGACUCACGAGUCUCCCCAGGAAGCACAGAGAGCAGGUAUCCACUUCCCUGCAACUGCAUAGCCUGAAUGGCACUGCUUCCACCGAAUCUCAACCCUGUGAACUAAAUUGCAUGGUGUCCACUUCACCCCAGCCACAAAGACUGAAUACCUUUAUGUCCACCUUACUCCAACCAUAUGGACGGAACAGGAAUCUUAUGAGGUGAACACAUGUUAAGUACUGUCAGUAGAGGAUGCAGGAGAGACAUUGAGAGAGGAUGAAGGAUUCUUCUAAUUCUGUACACCUGCCAAAGUCUCACCUCAGCUGCCUGCCUAGAAAGGCUGCUUCCCAUGACCCUCUCUACCUGAAGACCACAUGUUCUAAUUCUCAUGCAAAAGCCCCAUCCUCACUCCCUCUUUAUACAUUCACUUAUGAACUGUGGCUCUCUGCCACCUCAUUUCCUGCUUGCCCAGCGACCAUGGACCAGCUCUGAUCUGAGUGUCCUAGGAAACUUCUCUGGAGGUUGCAACUACACCUUCUCCAACAAGACCUG